This 312-nucleotide unclassified non-coding RNA is filed under the name plant metagenome. RNAcentral's name for it is "partial contains 5.8S ribosomal RNA, internal transcribed spacer 2, and large subunit ribosomal RNA". The stretch from base 1 to 104 matches the Rfam family "5.8S ribosomal RNA", at positions 50 to 154 of the family's 154-position model. The record is from RNAcentral.
GAAAUGCGAUACGUAAUGUGAAUUGCAAAUUCAGUGAAUCAUCGAGUCUUUGAACGCACAUUGCGCCCCCCGGUAUUCCGGGGGGCAUGCCUGUCCGAGCGUCAUUUCUGCCCUCAAGCACGGCUUGUGUGUUGGGCCCCGUCCUCCGAUCCCGGGGGACGGGCCCGAAAGGCAGCGGCGGCACCGCGUCCGGUCCUCGAGCGUAUGGGGCUUUGUCACCCGCUCUGUAGGCCCGGCCGGCGCUUGCCGAUCAACCCAAAUUUUUAUCCAGGUUGACCUCGGAUCAGGUAGGGAUACCCGCUGAACUUAAGC